AGAGUUUGAUCCUGGCUCAGAGUGAACGCUGGCGGCGUGCUUAACACAUGCAAGUCGAACGAGAACGAUUAUAGCUUGCUAUAAUUGUCAGCUAAGUGGCGCACGGGUGAGUAAUAUAUAGGUAAUGUGCCCUAGAGAAGAGGGAUAACAGUUGGAAACGACUGUCUAAGACUCUAUAUGCCUUUAAGAGCAGAAGUUCUGCAAAGGGAAAUAUUUAUAGCUCUAGGAUUCCAGCCCUGUUACCAGGUAUCAGUUAGUUGGUGAAGGUAAUGGCUCACCCAAGGACUAUGACACUUAACUGGUUUGAGAGGAUGAUCAGUCACACCUGGCAACUGAAGACACGGUUCCAAACUCCUACCGGGAGGCAGCAGUGGGGAAUAUUGCACAAUGGACGAAAGUCUGAUGCAGCAACGCCGCGUGGAGGAUGACACAUUUCGGUGCGUAAACUCCUUUUAUAUAGGGAAGAUAAUGACGGUACUAUUAUGAAUAAGCACCGGGCUUAACUCCGUGCCCAGCAGCCGCGGGUAAUACGGAGGGGUGCAAGCGUUACUUCGGAAUCACUGGGCGUUAAAGAGCCGUGUCAGGCGGAUAUAUAAGUCAGAAGUGAAAUCCAAUAGCCUUAACUAUUGAACUGCUUUUGAAACUGUAUAUCUAGAAUGUGGGGGAGAAGGUAGAUGGAAUUUCUGGUGUAGGGGUAAAAUCUCGUAGAGAUCAGAAGGAAUACCGCAUUGGCGAAGGCGAUCUACUGGAACAUUAUUGACGCUGAGACACGCGAAAGCGUGGUGGCGCCAAAACAGGAUUAGAUACCCUGGUAGUCCACGCCCUAAACGAUGCACACUAGUUGUUGUGAGGCUAGACCUUGCAGUAAUGCAGUUAACACAUUAAGUGUGCCGCCUGGGGAGUACGGUCGCAAGAUUAAAACUCAAAGGAAUUACGG
Molecule: ribosomal RNA, 937 nt
Filed under: uncultured bacterium
Lineage: Bacteria
Description: bacterial SSU rRNA
Rfam family: Bacterial small subunit ribosomal RNA
Source: RNAcentral